This is a non-coding RNA of Cricetulus griseus (Chinese hamster), 308 nucleotides long. The record is from RefSeq and is a predicted model, not a curated record. NCBI's taxonomy places the organism in Eukaryota, Metazoa, Chordata, Mammalia, Rodentia, Cricetidae.
AGUUCUCUACUAAAACACCCACUCUGCCACCCCACCAUGCUUCACCUAUCUUAGACUGGAGGCCGGGAGAGUAAAAGAAACCUAAGCAAACAAGAAAGGCCAACCAAGAUUCGAUGUGUGAUACGAAUGGAAUAACAUGAACAGCGUGGUUCCAGUUGUCAUCAGUCUUAGGAGGCGAUCGCCAGAGCUGUCAGCAAGGGGUCCGUGGGAACUGAUGGAGAAGCUCAGCCAUCUAUUAUCACACUUAAAAUUUUCUGCCUUCAUCCGGUAACUGAUGGAAGCAGAUGCAGAGAUCCACAGCCAAGCAC